Molecule: ribosomal RNA, 492 nt
Filed under: uncultured bacterium
Lineage: Bacteria
Description: partial 16S ribosomal RNA
Rfam family: Bacterial small subunit ribosomal RNA
Source: RNAcentral
AGUGAACGCUGGCGGUAGGCCUAACACAUGCAAGUCGAACGGCAGCACAGUAAGAGCUUGCUCUUACGGGUGGCGAGUGGCGGACGGGUGAGGAAUACAUCGGAAUCUACUUUCUCGUGGGGGAUAACGUAGGGAAACUUACGCUAAUACCGCAUACGACCUACGGGUGAAAGCAGGGGAUCUUCGGACCUUGCGCGAUUGAAUGAGCCGAUGUCGGAUUAGCUAGUUGGCGGGGUAAAGGCCCACCAAGGCGACGAUCCGUAGCUGGUCUGAGAGGAUGAUCAGCCACACUGGAACUGAGACACGGUCCAGACUCCUACGGGAGGCAGCAGUGGGGAAUAUUGGACAAUGGGCGCAAGCCUGAUCCAGCCAUACCGCGUGAGUGAAGAAGGCCUUCGGGUUGUAAAGCCCUUUUGUUGGGAAAGAAAAGCAGCAGGUUAAUACCCCGCUGUUCUGACGGUACCCAAAGAAUAAGCACCGGCUAACUUCGUG